This is a non-coding RNA of Vararia minispora EC-137, 101 nucleotides long. Lineage: Eukaryota; Fungi; Basidiomycota; Agaricomycetes; Russulales; Lachnocladiaceae. The record is from the annotation of a GenBank genome assembly.
GCUUCCUUGGCUCAGUUGGCUAGAGCGCAGGUCUCAUAUCUAUAUGAGCGGUUGUAAACCGUUAAAUCCUGAGGUCGCAAGUUCGAGCCUUGCAGGGAGCA